CACACAGUAGGCAAAAACGGGAGAGGGCAGAGAGAGAAAUCGAGAAAAAAAAAGAAGAAAAGAAAGAAAGGAAGAAAGAAAGAAAGAAAGAAAGGUGAAGAAGAAGAAGGGAAAGAGGUAGUUCAAGGUUUAUCUUCAUUUUUCCUUCUCUUUAUUUUUUUCAAGAGGUAGAUAAAUUUUAUGUUUAAGUUGCUAGGGUUUAAUUUGUGGCUAAAAUUUCAUAUUUUUGCAAGAUGAGUACAAAUUGGAGUUCAAGUCUGUUGAUUAUUUAAUUUUCAAUUUCAUUAAGGUAAGAAUACCAAUUUUUGGCAAAUCCUAAAUUUUUAUUUGGGAUUCCUAAUUAUGAAAUGUUAGUGGGAAUGAUUAUAUUGAUGGAAAACUCUCAUGAAACCAUGAAUUUGAGAAACAAGAUGAAAAUUAAAAUAGGUGGAAUUAUUGUUACUAGUUUUCAUUAGAUUGGAAGGUAUAAUUAUUUUUUAUGAGUUGGGUGAAGGUAAAUUUGGAUGUAGUAUAUAUUUGUGAAGGUAUUAGAAAGUAGAAUUAGCUCUUAUCGAUUAAAGGAAAAUUUGGGAAAAUUAUUCAAAGUAUCGAGAAGUCAAGUUUUUAGUAUUCGACUAUUAAUAUUAAGAAAUACUUAAUACAAGAUUUGUUAAAUUAGUUAUUUUACAUCGUAUUUCAGGUGGUGACGUGAAAACUAGGCAAGAUUGGUAAAUUUAACCAGAUUGCAAUCCAUAGAUUUGUUAGUGGAGAAUCUAUGUUUUCAAAAAGAGUAUUUUCUUUUUAUUUUAUAGAAGCAUGUUAAUUACAUGAAAUGCUUUAUUUUCGAGAAGUAGUAAAUGAGCAUGAUUGUUUUGAAAUUAUCAUAAAAUAAUUGAUGUGAUUAUCUUACUCUAGUGUAUUGAAGGGCUACGGCCAUGUACUAGAGUCAUGUAUAUAACUCUUAUCCAUUGAGGGGCUAUGGCCACGGGUAAAGGUAUCCAAUAUAUACUGAGGGACUAUAGCAUUGUGUAAGGGUAACUUUUAUCCACUGAGGGGCUACGGCCGUGGGUAAAAGGUAUCCAUUAUACACUGAAGGGCUACAGCUGUGUAUAUGGAUGAUUGUGUUGUUUCCAUCGUGUACACUCAGGGGCUACGGUCGUGUACAGAGUGUUGAUCAGACGAUUUAUAUACAUAUGAUUAUAUAGCUUUCAGAUCAUCAGUAGAUGUAAACGUGGGGUAUAUUUUGAUGUGAAUUUUAUGUAUACAGUGGAUUAUUAGCCUUCAGCUUACAUUUCCCCGUAUACAACUCAGCUUAUAGAAUUCAGAUUAUAGAAUUCAAAUUGUUCAGUUUUCAGAGAAAAGCUUCUAGUUUAUAGUAUUGAGCAACAACAAUAUUUCACAGAUUUUCAUAGAUGUCAGAUUAUUUAUAUCCGUUAUAUUUUACAGCUAUUGAAUUAGAAUGAAGAAUAAAGAAUUUUAUGAUCCAAUUAUGUCAAUUUUAAAAGUGUUACUAAAUUUCUGAAUUUCUCAAAGGUUUAAUAGAACAAGAAUUAUGCAUAUAUAAAAAAGUAUACUUAUUUUUAAUUUAUCCACUCACUGAGUUACAAACUCAUAUUUUGUUACUUUUUUUUCUUAGCAGAUAGCAGCUAUGCAGCCUUAGAGCCUAUUGAUCCACCGAGAGUGCCACACACACACACAUUGUCCUUAAAUGUAUGACUUAUUUCGUCAAUUUAUAUAGUUCAAAAUUUUUAGGAUACAUGUAUGUUUUGACUGAAACGUUAAUUGGUAAUUUAUAGAUCCAUACCAUGGAUUCACUGCAUAUUUAGUAUUCUCAUUGCUUUUGGGGUCUUUUGUUUAUAAAAUAUGAUAAAUGUCUUGAAUAGUUUGUAUUUUGAAGGACUAGCGUGUUAUAUUUUAAAUUAUAUGUACAAUUUUGAUAAAGUUGAUGUUUGUUUAGGUGAUUUAGUCCAUAUUUUAAAGGAAAUUCUGUCAAUUUUUAUAUAAAUAUGUUAUAGUCAAAGUAGGUCAAGUUCGCCUUGAUGGUAGGUCUAGCACUUAGUUGGUAUCUACCAUUGGCGCAUGACACGUUCGGGUGUAUUAGGGUGAUUCGGGAUGAAUCGUGUCAAUUGGUAUCAGAGCAUGGUGAUGAAGUUCUGAAUUUUUUUUGUAGUUCCCGCAUUAGCAUAUCAUGCAUAUUCAAUGUGUGUGGUCGCAUGUCGUAGUGGUAGAAAUCACAGGCUCCCAGCUCUUGCUGCAAGAUGUAUGGAACCUCAACGAUAUAAGAACAUGUUUAGUAGAUUCGUAAAUGGCUAGAAUGUAAAUAUGACGGUUGCAAAGAUCCGAUGGUUGGAUAUAUUAUUAGUAGUUGAACUAAUACUAUGGUGUAUGUAUAAUUUGAGUACAAUUUUGCAUAGAUCACCAAUCCAAAGUAAGAGUUUUGAUGAUUUUAUAGAUUGUUUAUUCGUAAAUAUUUGAAUUGAUUGACUAUAUGAUCACUAUUGUGUAAUUAUUAAAUUGUUUUAUGGGUAUUUCAAAGGAAGUCUCUUGUAUAUGUUUUAUAUAAUAGAAGCUGGCAAAUGGGGUGAUUACGGUAUUUUGAGAUAGCAUUAUUUAAGGAGUCUUGAUUAUUUUAAAGAAAUAAAAGUUGAUGUAUAUAUUUAGAAUUCUUGGGAAAUUUACUACUUUAUAGAUCAUGGAAGGAUAAGGCACAUGCAUAGACACAAUCAAUAAUUGAAGCAUUGAUUAUAUCACGUAUAUGAUUGAUUGGCUUUAAUUUUCUCUUUAGUGUGUAGAAAAUUGAAGACAAUCUAAUUAUAAGGAAAAGCAAAAAAAAUUCGCGAUAUGAUAAAAGAAUAUUAGAUCAAUGAAAUAUGUUCUAAAUGGAGAGAAUAAAGAAAACAUGAGAUGAGGGGACAUGGUGGUCACAUUCCUGAAUAUUAUAAAAUGAUAUGUUUUUUGGGUCGUCAAUUUGAUCGACUAUUUCUUCAGCUGGAUUUUUAUUGGGAUCUUUUGAAUAGUGUACUCCUACUGCAAUAAUUUUCAUGGGACUGAAGCAUGUUAAAAGAGCUUUGAUGAGCUAGAGGAUUGAUGAAUUUGUGCAUUAAUAUUUUCUCUUUCAGCUGCGUUUGAAGAGUUUGUGAUUUACAUUGAUAUAUCAUGUCGGGGAUUAGUACGUAUCCUAAUGUGGAAUUAUAAUGUCAUGGUCCGUAUUUUUGAACAAUCAAUGAGACACCUAACAAACCAUUUAGAGUUAGAGUUGGUAUAAAUAAUUUGCUUGUAUUGCCCAAAUGGUAAAGAAUGUUAAAUUUAUGUUAUAGUGUGAGAACUUAAAUAGAUGUCGUUCACUAUGAUUGAGAAGUUAGGCAUAUGUAAUCUUAGUAUUGUGGUGUCUGGAUCUUGACAAAGUAAGUAUGAUGAUAAUAUUUAGUGAUAUCAAGAGGCUUGAUGUAAUUAGAUGCUUAAGGUCAUGUAUGAUAUGUAUGUAAGAGAUUACAUAAUUAGGAGAGGUAUAGACCACCAUGUUUAGUACUGUGGUGAAUUAAUGCAAUAGCAAAUUGGGAUUAUGAAGUAAAUUGAUCUUUUUAUGAACAUGUUGGAAUCAGGAUGUCUUUUAGUUCUAGUUUCUCUCUGGUUGAGUAUUUUCCAUUUAUGUAUUGAAUUUAAUAAUACUUAGAUGUAAUGGAUUCAGGGAUUGGUCCUCUUUCGAUAUUGAUUUGAGUUUUCCAUGUGAGAGUGGUUGGUGUUAGGGACUAAACAAGAAUUUUGGGAUUUAAAGUUUGAAAUAGGCUGCCAACUAGAAUAAAGGAUGAUGAUCUUAGUCAUAAGGAAAUUCAAUUCCUUAGUCAAGGUUGAGCCAUACCAUGUGUUAUCUACGAGAUAAUCUUAACUUGAUAUCGUCAAGCAAUUAUGUUAGUAGAAUUGAUUCAAGACUAUUUAAAAUUAAAUAGGAGUACGGUAUAUUGUAAUUUUGUAAAGAUAUUUGGGUUGGAUGAUAUUCAGUUUACUCCUUUGGAUCCUAAAAUAGCACAUUUUGCCCAAUGAUGCACACAUUAUAAAAGUUAUCGAUGGUAUGUUAGUUUAUUUUGUGGGCUAGGACAAUAAACAAUGUAAAUUGUGAUUGGGGUAAUGAUGUUAUUUGGUUACGUUAGCUCAGUAAAGUGAAUAGGAAAGCAUUCCCAUGACCUUGUGUCUUGAGCUAUAUACAGGAGGAAAUAGAUAAGGAAAUUUGAAAUUUGUAAAAUCAAUACUUACUCAAUAUUGCUGAAUAUGGGAAAUCAAGGUGGGAAUGGAAAUAGAAAUUAACAAGAGGAGAAGAGGAUAAAUAGAAUGUGCAUAAGGUAUCGCAUAGAGUGAUUAUAUAUAAAGAUGACAGGAUUCCAAUAGGCUGGCAGCAUCUACAUAGAUGUACAAGCAUUAGGAAUCAAUAAAAAGAAAGAAUAUAUGUAAGGAUGACAUUUAAGGUUCUGAGACGACAAAGAAUAGAAAAGAGGCAUGAAAAAUUUUAAAUUUAGAAUGUAGAGUAAAGUGUAGAGAAUGGAGUUAGAAUUUAUUGAGUUGGAAAAUUAACAUUCGAAAUUUUGGUAAUAUAUAGAUGUAUGAAAGGUUCAUAUGAUAAAUAUGAAGGUUAUUACUUUGUGAUCCUAAGGAAAAAUUGAUGUAACUAAAUGUUUUAUGUCAUACAAUAGGACGAUACAUGACCAGGUUACAUGAUCAUGACAUGAUAUGGUGAAUAGCAUGUAAAUGAAUAUUAUGGUUGUCCUAUAGCAAAAUAAUNNNNNNNNNNNNNNNNNNGGUUAUUAGUUAAUUAAUUUUGUCAAGGCCUAUGCGUUGAUGAUAGGUUGAUGGUCUCUUUAUGGAGCAAGAAUAGAGAAUUUUCAUAGAUUAUAAAGUUACUAGUGCUUCAUUAUCGAAGGGCAUAUUUACUAUGUCCCUCGGCAAAUAGAAUAGAAAGAGUAAAAAGGUUUGUGUUGGUUAGGAAUGACAAAUUAUAGAUUAUGUUCUAGAGUGUUGAGAUGAUCAAAACAUAAUUCAGAGUUGGCUAUAUUGGGAUUGAACUUAGAAAUUAUGGUGUUAUUACAUGGUGAGAAACAUCGAUACUUAUCAAUGAUUCAGGGUGUAUUUUUUUUAUUUUUAUUUUUUCAAAGAGUUGGAACUAGAAGUUGGGCACUUGUUAUGAGGUGAUAUAUAAAAAUUAAAGGAUAAGGUCACAAUAUUGAGAUAUAUCAAUUGCUAUUGAGGAUAACUAAAAUUUUAGAAAAUUAGGGAACAAUUGAACCUUUUUGUAGAUAUUUUUUAUUUUAUAAUGGAAGUAGAUACCCUCAAUAUUUUUCCUUAUGGUUCCAAGUACACAGAAUGGAGACCAAAUGGUAUUUGGAUCAUCGUAGACAGAUCGAUAAAUGUUACCAGAUUCUUUUCUAGUGAUAUAGUUAGUUCAUGGGAUAUAUUUAUAAAAUUAUAUUUAAAUUAUAUUUUUAGUUAUAAUGUGGAGCGAGUAUUUAUCCUUGGCUUAGUUGAAGGGAGUUAUAUGACUAUAUUAUAUUGGGCAGCUUCGUUUAAUAAAAUGUCAGAGACUGUGGAUGAAUUUAGAAGAUAUGCUAUCAACAUAUGGGUUGCUAUAUAAAGGGGAUUGAGAUAAUUAUUUAUCUCUUAUGAAGUGAUAUGUAAGAAAUUGAUACAAAUAAUUCUUUUGGGAUUAUUGAUGAUAUUGGCAUGUUCUAGAGAUUUGUUCAUUGUGAUGAAAGCUGCAAAAGAAAGUUAAGUCGAUUAUUACAGAAUAAUUUGAAUCAUGACAUAAGGUAAAGAUUUGGAGAAUAUGAAAAGUAUUAUUUUGAACUUCAAAUUGGGAAAUAAUUAAAUUUUUCUAAAUUUGGUAAAAUGAAAAGAUGGGAAUGUCAUGCAUUGGUCCUUGAGA
Molecule: long non-coding RNA, 5890 nt
Filed under: Olea europaea subsp. europaea
Lineage: Eukaryota; Viridiplantae; Streptophyta; Magnoliopsida; Lamiales; Oleaceae
Source: RNAcentral